UACGUAGGGUGCGAGCGUUGUCCGGAAUUAUUGGGCGUAAAGAGCUCGUAGGCGGUUUGUUGCGUCGGCCGUGAAAACUUGGGGCUUAACCCCGAGCCUGCGGUCGAUACGGGCAGACUUGAAUUCGGCAGGGGAGACUGGAAUUCCUGGUGUAGCGGUGAAAUGCGUAGAUAUCAAGUGGAACACCAGUGGCGAAGGCGAGUCUCUGGACAUUUCCUGACGCUAAGGCACGAAAGCCAGGGGAGCAAACGGG
RNAcentral lists this ribosomal RNA (253 nucleotides) under uncultured bacterium. RNAcentral describes it as "partial 16S ribosomal RNA". It matches the Rfam family "Bacterial small subunit ribosomal RNA", at positions 524 to 776 of the family's 1533-position model. The record is from RNAcentral.